Molecule: ribosomal RNA, 439 nt
Filed under: uncultured bacterium
Lineage: Bacteria
Description: partial 16S ribosomal RNA
Rfam family: Bacterial small subunit ribosomal RNA
Source: RNAcentral
CUACGGGGGGCAGCAGUGGGGAAUAUUGCACAAUGGGCGCAAGCCUGAUGCAGCGACGCCGCGUGAGCGAUGAAGUAUUUCGGUAUGUAAAGCUCUAUCAGCAGGGAAGAUAAUGACGGUACCUGACUAAGAAGCACCGGCUAAAUACGUGCCAGCAGCCGCGGUAAUACGUAUGGUGCAAGCGUUAUCCGGAUUUACUGGGUGUAAAGGGAGCGUAGGUGGUUUGGCAAGUCAGAUGUGAAAGCCUGGGGCUCAACCCCGGAACUGCAUUUGAAACUGCCAGACUAGAGUGCAGGAGAGGUAAGUGGAAUUCCUAGUGUAGCGGUGAAAUGCGUAGAUAUUAGGAGGAACACCAGUGGCGAAGGCGGCUUACUGGACUGUAACUGACACUGAGGCUCGAAAGCGUGGGGAGCAAACAGGAUUAGAUACCCGAGUAGUC